Molecule: ribosomal RNA, 497 nt
Filed under: uncultured bacterium
Lineage: Bacteria
Description: partial 16S ribosomal RNA
Rfam family: Bacterial small subunit ribosomal RNA
Source: RNAcentral
GAUGAACGCUGGCGGCGUGCCUAAUACAUGCAAGUCGAGCGAACAGAUGAGGAGCUUGCUCCUCUGACGUUAGCGGCGGGCGGGUGAGUAACACGUGGAUAACCUACCUAUAAGACUGGGAUAACUUCGGGAAACCGGAGCUAAUACCGGAUAAUAUAUUGAACCGCAUGGUUCAAUAGUGAAAGACGGUUUUGCUGUCACUUAUAGAUGGAUCCGCGCCGCAUUAGCUAGUUGGUAAGGUAACGGCUUACCAAGGCAACGAUGCGUAGCCGACCUGAGAGGGUGAUCGGCCACGCUGGAACUGAGACACGGUCCAGACUCCUACGGGAGGCAGCAGUAGGGAAUCUUCCGCAAUGGGCGAAAGCCUGACGGAGCAACGCCGCGUGAGUGAUGAAGGUCUUCGGAUCGUAAAACUCUGUUAUUAGGGAAGAACAAAUGUGUAAGUAACUAUGCACGUCUUGACGGUACCUAAUCAGAAAGCCACGGCUAACUACGUG